GUGAGUAACACGUGGGGCAACCUGCCUAUAAGACUGGGAUAACUUCGGGAAACCGGAGCUAAUACCGGAUACGUUCUUUUCUCGCAUGAGAGAAGAUGGAAAGACGGUUUACGCUGUCACUUAUAGAUGGGCCCGCGGCGCAUUAGCUAGUUGGUGAGGUAAUGGCUCACCAAGGCGACGAUGCGUAGCCGACCUGAGAGGGUGAUCGGCCACACUGGGACUGAGACACGGCCCAGACUCCUACGGGAGGCAGCAGUAGGGAAUCUUCCGCAAUGGACGAAAGUCUGACGGAGCAACGCCGCGUGAACGAAGAAGGCCUUCGGGUCGUAAAGUUCUGUUGUUAGGGAAGAACAAGUACCAGAGUAACUGCUGGUACCUUGACGGUACCUAACCAGAAAGCCACGGCUAACUACGUGCCAGCAGCCGCGGUAAUACGUAGGUGGCAAGCGUUGUCCGGAAUUAUUGGGCGUAAAGCGCGCGCAGGUGGUUCCUUAAGUCUGAUGUGAAAGCCCACGGCUCAACCGUGGAGGGUCAUUGGAAACUGGGGAACUUGAGUGCAGAAGAGGAAAGUGGAAUUCCAAGUGUAGCGAGGGGG
Molecule: ribosomal RNA, 595 nt
Filed under: Peribacillus frigoritolerans
Lineage: Bacteria; Bacillati; Bacillota; Bacilli; Caryophanales; Bacillaceae
Description: bacterial SSU rRNA
Rfam family: Bacterial small subunit ribosomal RNA
Source: RNAcentral